This 500-nucleotide ribosomal RNA is filed under the name uncultured bacterium. Its description in RNAcentral is "partial 16S ribosomal RNA". It matches the Rfam family "Bacterial small subunit ribosomal RNA", at positions 30 to 523 of the family's 1533-position model. The record is from RNAcentral.
AUUGAACGCUGGCGGCAUGCCUUACACAUGCAAGUCGAACGGCAGCACGGGAGCAAUCCUGGUGGCGAGUGGCGAACGGGUGAGUAAAGUAUCGGAACGUGCCCAGUCGUGGGGGAUAACGUAGCGAAAGUUACGCUAAUGCCGCAUACGAUCUAUGGAUGAAAGCGGGGGAUCGCAAGACCUCGCGCGAUUGGAGCGGCCGAUAUCAGAUUAGGUAGUUGGUGGGGUAAAGGCUCACCAAGCCGACGAUCUGUAGCUGGUCUGAGAGGACGACCAGCCACACUGGGACUGAGACACGGCCCAGACUCCUACGGGAGGCAGCAGUGGGGAAUUUUGGACAAUGGGCGAAAGCCUGAUCCAGCCAUGCCGCGUGCAGGAUGAAGGCCUUCGGGUUGUAAACUGCUUUUGUACGGAACGAAAAGGUUUGGCCUAAUAAGCUGAGCUCAUAACGGUACCGUAAGAAUAAGCACCGGCUAACUACGAGCCAGCCGCCGCGGUAA